This 71-nucleotide transfer RNA is filed under the name Hyphomicrobium sp. MC1. Its description in RNAcentral is "tRNA-Lys (CTT) (tRNA-Lys-CTT-2-1)". The record is from RNAcentral. Lineage: Bacteria; Pseudomonadati; Pseudomonadota; Alphaproteobacteria; Hyphomicrobiales; Hyphomicrobiaceae.
AUUGAAUUCGUUCGAAAUUACGUUGUCUCUUAAUCAGCGGGUCGAAGGUUCGAGUGCUUCAUCGCCCACCA